Ixodes scapularis (black-legged tick) is the source of this 394-nucleotide long non-coding RNA. RefSeq lists it as uncharacterized. The transcript has 3 exons. The record is from RefSeq and is a predicted model, not a curated record. Lineage: Eukaryota; Metazoa; Arthropoda; Arachnida; Ixodida; Ixodidae.
CCGGCGGUAACCCAUUCCCGUGCUCAAUCUCAACGGGUAUUUCGAACGUAGAGCCACUGCCCGAAGCCCCAAGGAGUGGUGCUGUCUCCACCUGUGUGCAGCAGGUAGCUGCACAGCUGGCAAGUGACGUCUCUUUGGAGAUGCCUGAAGAGGCGGUGGAAGACCCAUGCACUCAAGACUCCAUAAAAGAAAUGGAGAAGGAUGCCGCUGUCGGCCUAAUCAUGAUGGCUGGGAAUCCUGAGGUGUCCAAGCUGCGUGACCUGCAGAUGGCCAAAAUGCAGCAGGUCAUUCUUGAUCUGCAAGCAGACAAACAACGUCUCGAAAGGCAGGUUUGCCACCUGCAAGCCAGGCAGCUUAGUCUCAACACUAUCCAGGAGCCUAAGAACUGUUUAUA